This is a long non-coding RNA of Oryza brachyantha (malo sina), 612 nucleotides long. RefSeq lists it as uncharacterized. The record is from RefSeq and is a predicted model, not a curated record. Lineage: Eukaryota; Viridiplantae; Streptophyta; Magnoliopsida; Poales; Poaceae. The transcript is spliced from 3 exons.
CAUCUGGGCCUACCCGAGAUCCUCCUCCUCCCCUUACUCCGGCGGCGGCGGCGGCGGCGCUCCGCCUGCCGCUUCCCGGAGCAUUGGAGGAGGAGGCAUCAGGGCUCAGGCACGCCCUUCAGGCCAGCAUGCUGGCGGGUGCGGUUCCUCAGCCUGCCGCCGCUCUGCCGUCAACGCGGGGCCGGGGCGCCCCGCUGCUUCCCCCGCCACCACGCCUCGCCGUCGCUAGAGCGCCACCGCCACCCCGAGAGGUUUCACGACGCGCCGGCGAUUAAUUGGUUUCAGAUCCUUCCUUACGCCGCCCGCCGGCUCCCUCUUGCACGGUAGGCAUUGACGAAGGAUUGCCUGACCUACAGGAUUCUAUUACAUAUCUCCUUAAGAUGUUUAACCAAUGAAUGGAUCGUGGAAAGGAUUUUUCAAGCAGUUUAUAACAGCUUAAUGGAGAAAGAAUGGAUCAGUGUGUGUUGCUACGUAAUAUGAAUGCUGUAGAUAAACCGAAGCAAUUACAGAACAUACAAAUAAGGUACUAGGAAAUCCCGUGACACAUCAGAACCUUGUGAGAAUAUAUAUUUGUCCAAUGAGUCAUUAGGCAUGAAUUCAUAAAUUAAAGCA